RNAcentral lists this ribosomal RNA (252 nucleotides) under uncultured marine eukaryote. RNAcentral describes it as "partial 18S ribosomal RNA". It matches the Rfam family "Eukaryotic small subunit ribosomal RNA", at positions 608 to 869 of the family's 1831-position model. The record is from RNAcentral.
AGUUGUUGCAGUUAAAAAGCUCGUAGUUGGAUUUCGGUUAAGAGCGACCGGUCCGCCGUUUGGUGUGCACUGGUUGGUUUUAACUUCCUGUAGAGGACGUGCUCUGGGCUUAACGGUCUGGACUCGGAGUCUACGUGGUUACUUUGAAAAAAUUAGAGUGUUCAAAGCGGGCUUACGCUUGAAUAUUUCAGCAUGGAAUAACACUAUAGGACUCCUGUCCUAUUUCGUUGGUCUCGGGACGGGAGUAAUGAU